AGAAGUGUUUGUCUUUGAUUGAUGAAUCAGCGACAACCAUCUGGCGGUCGAAUGAGUUCUGUCAAAUCGGACCAGAAGCUCUUCAAGCCAUCCUUCAACGGGAUACUUUAACCGCCAACGAACAUACCAUUUGUUCUUCUGUUACCAAGUGGGCUACCAACAUGUGCACGCAAAAGGACAUGGAAGCUUGCUCCGCCAACCUAAGGGAAGUAUUGGGCGACAUGUUGUAUUUAGUCCGAUUCCCUCUUUUGACCGACACUCAGCUGCGGGAUGGGCCUGUCAAGAGCGGUUUGUUGCUGUAUUCGGAGGCAGUGGACAUCUACCUCUACAAGCAUGCCAUCAUCAUACCCCAGCUGCCAUUCCCUACGGAGCCUCGGCAAAAUGAACGCGCUGCGGGUGUCAUUAAUUACACAAUUCCCGAUAUCAGAGAGCUGCAAGAAGCGUGCUCGUAUUCGUUCAGCGAAAAGAUAACCGUCC
Molecule: long non-coding RNA, 477 nt
Organism: Paramacrobiotus metropolitanus
Lineage: Eukaryota; Metazoa; Tardigrada; Eutardigrada; Parachela; Macrobiotidae
Exons: 4
Source: RefSeq, a predicted model, not a curated record